This 494-nucleotide ribosomal RNA is filed under the name uncultured bacterium. RNAcentral describes it as "partial 16S ribosomal RNA". It matches the Rfam family "Bacterial small subunit ribosomal RNA", at positions 28 to 507 of the family's 1533-position model. The record is from RNAcentral.
GACGAACGCUGGCGGCGCGCUUAACACAUGCAAGUCGAACGGAAAGGCCUGCUUUCCCUUGUGGAUUGCGGGUACUCGAGUGGCGAACGGGUGAGUAACACGUGAGUGAUCUGCCCCCAACUUGGGUAUAAGCCUGGGAAACUGGGUCUAAUUCCCGAUAGGACUGCAGGGUGGUGCCUGUGGUGGAAAACGAUUUUCUAGUGGUUGGGGAUGAGCUCGCGGCCUAUCAGCUUGUUGGUGGGGUAAUGGCCUACCAAGGCGGCGACGGGUAGCCGGCCUGAGAGGGUGGACGGCCACAUUGGGACUGAGAUACGGCCCAGACGCCUACGGGAGGCAGCAGUGGGGAAUAUUGCACAAUGGGCGGAAGCCUGAUGCAGCGACGCCGCGUGGGGGAUGACGGCCUUCGGGUUGUAAACUCCUUUCGACCGCGAGGAAGCCACCUGGUUGGAAGGGUGGUGACGGUAGUGGUAGAGGAAGCACCGGCUAACUACGUG